RNAcentral lists this ribosomal RNA (443 nucleotides) under Streptococcus sp. RAG19. Its description in RNAcentral is "bacterial SSU rRNA". It matches the Rfam family "Bacterial small subunit ribosomal RNA", at positions 79 to 508 of the family's 1533-position model. Lineage: Bacteria; Bacillati; Bacillota; Bacilli; Lactobacillales; Streptococcaceae. The record is from RNAcentral.
CUUGCUUCUCUGGAUGAGUUGCGAACGGGUGAGUAACGCGUAGGUAACCUGCCUGGUAGCGGGGGAUAACUAUUGGAAACGAUAGCUAAUACCGCAUAAAAUUGAUUAUUGCAUGAUAGUCAAUUAAAAGGUGCAAUUGCAUCACUACCAGAUGGACCUGCGUUGUAUUAGCUAGUUGGUGGGGUAACGGCUCACCAAGGCAACGAUACAUAGCCGACCUGAGAGGGUGAUCGGCCACACUGGGACUGAGACACGGCCCAGACUCCUACGGGAGGCAGCAGUAGGGAAUCUUCGGCAAUGGACGGAAGUCUGACCGAGCAACGCCGCGUGAGUGAAGAAGGUUUUCGGAUCGUAAAGCUCUGUUGUAAGAGAAGAACGAGUGUGAGAGUGGAAAGUUCACACUGUGACGGUAUCUUACCAGAAAGGGACGGCUAACUACGUGC